UACGAAGGGGGCUAGCGUUGCUCGGAAUUACUGGGCGUAAAGGGCGCGUAGGCGGAUACUUAAGUCGGGGGUGAAAGCCCGGGGCUCAACCUCGGAAUUGCCUUCGAUACUGGGUAUCUUGAGUUCGGGAGAGGUGAGUGGAAUGCCGAGUGUAGAGGUGAAAUUCGUAGAUAUUCGGCGGAACACCAGUGGCGAAGGCGACUCACUGGCCCGAUACUGACGCUGAGGCACGAAAGCGUGGGGAGCAAACAGGG
Molecule: ribosomal RNA, 254 nt
Filed under: uncultured bacterium
Lineage: Bacteria
Description: partial 16S ribosomal RNA
Rfam family: Bacterial small subunit ribosomal RNA
Source: RNAcentral